AAUAUUCUGCCUUGUUCGAGUAAUUAUAGUUUUUUAUAAUCCAACACAUCUCAUUAGGGAAUCCAGCUCCGGUUGUGGAUUGCAGACCUCCCGACUUACAGACAUUUUUUCUGUUUGCGGACGAAGGGAGCGUGAAGCAUUCGGGCGUUUACCCACCUGCUUCGUGCGGGUUUUAUGCACUAUAUGACGGCAAGGCGGAUUAUUU
This 205-nucleotide non-coding RNA is filed under the name Ruminococcus sp. Its description in RNAcentral is "6S RNA". It matches the Rfam family "6S / SsrS RNA". From Rfam's summary of the family: E. coli 6S RNA was the first non coding RNA to be sequenced, but its function was unknown until recently. It consists of 184 nucleotides that fold into an extended hairpin structure with a large single-stranded internal bulge. The record is from RNAcentral. Lineage: Bacteria; Bacillati; Bacillota; Clostridia; Eubacteriales; Oscillospiraceae.